GGACUACUAGGGUAUCUAAUCCUGUUUGCUCCCCACGCUUUCGUAGUUGAGUGUCAGUACUUGUCCAGGUCGCCGCCUUCGCCUCUGGUGUUCCUCCCGAUCUCUACGCAUUUCACCGCUACACCGGGAAUUCCACGACCCUCUCCAAGACUCCAGUCUCACCGUUUCCGGGGCACUUCUCGAGUUAAGCUCGAGGCUUUCACCCCAGACAAAUGAGACCACCUACCUACCCUUUACGCCCAAUGAUUCCGAGCAACGCUUGCACCCUCUGUAUUACCGCGGCUGCUGGCAC
This 292-nucleotide ribosomal RNA is filed under the name uncultured bacterium. RNAcentral describes it as "partial 16S ribosomal RNA". The record is from RNAcentral.